UUCCUACGGGAGGCAGCAGUGAGGAAUAUUGGUCAAUGGCCGAGAGGCUGAACCAGCCAAGUAGCGUGCAGGAUGACGGCCCUCGUGGUUGUAAACUGCUUUUAGUCGGGAAUAAAAGGGGGUUCGUGAACCCCGUAUUGUAUGUACCGUCAGAAAAAGGACCGGCUAAUUCCGUGCCAGCAGCCGCGGUAAUACGGAAGGUCCGGGCGUUAUCCGGAUUUAUUGGGUUUAAAGGGAGCGUAGGCGGGCCGUUAAGUCAGUUGUGAAAGUUCGGGGCUCAACUCCGGACGUGCCUCUAAUACUGU
This 305-nucleotide ribosomal RNA is filed under the name uncultured bacterium. Its description in RNAcentral is "bacterial SSU rRNA". It matches the Rfam family "Bacterial small subunit ribosomal RNA", at positions 336 to 636 of the family's 1533-position model. The record is from RNAcentral.